CAGGAACCUCAUAGGACUGGCAGCAAAAGAAAAACCACCCUGAGUGUGUUUGCCCCAAAGGAGGAGUUUUCAGCACGUGACCUGUGGCCGCACCACCUGGCGUGCUUCCCAGCACUCAGUGAAAGGUUUUCCAGAAGACAAAAGUGAAGACUUCAUUCCAGUAUGUGUUUGCAAACUCCUUUGAUUUACAGGCACAUACCAACUGCUCCCAAGAUAAUGGUGGCCAUCCUGGAGAGCUCUGGAGGUUUUGGUACACCUUCCAAACAUAAUCAGCCCUGCUUUUUCUCACAAAGUAGCAUUUGUAAUUCUUACAUCACCUACCCUGUUCAGCUUUGAGCAUGCUCUGCUUGUUAUCAGCGUGCUAACCCCAAAGACAAAGGCCAAUGCCACACCUGGCUGCUGGGUUAAGUGCUUGCUACUCAUCUUUUAAGAUCAGCUGAAUCCUCUACCUUACUUCUGUCAACAUCAAGCACCGAGAACAAAGGCACAAGAUUACAGGGAUCUCAUUAAAUAAGUUUGUUCUAAGAGCAAGAAAUGUGUAUACUUUCCUCUGAUGACCCGGGGAAACAAAAAAGCUCUUCAGCAUAGAAAAUUUAUUUGUAAUCAAUUAUGUGAUUCCGUUAAGAAGGGGGGAGAGGAAAUCUACCUGUCCUAAGCUUUCUAUACCAAGACCUUGUAAACAGCAUCGUUCAGUUUGAAACAGAAAGCAGGGAUGUACGUACCUGAAAAACACCAACGCAUGCACACAGACAAAAGAAUCCCUUAGGAUAUUAAGCGAGCCAUUUAACUAAGUAUUUAAAACCUCUGCAAUUAUUAGUUUAUUAGUAUCAUCCAGGAUUCAGAUGUUCAAUAUUUCUCCUGAAGUUAUACAUAAAUGCAAAUUGAAAUAAGAAUCUGAAAGUCAAAAUUGUAUAACAAAACAAUACUCCAUCACAAAAGCGUGUAAAAUUACAAGAAUGCUGUUUUUUUUUUUUUUUUUUAAACACUGGCACUUAAGAGAACCAUAAUUUUGUAACCACAAAAUUGCCAAAUUGUCCCCCAAACUGGUAAGCAGGUAUAUGUGAAAAUAGUUAAUAGUUGCCAGCACUUGAAGUUUUACUAAAUAUGCAAAAACACCCUCAGCUUUGGUUUUGGAAGAGAACUCUAUUUGACCAAAUUAGACAUUGUUGGUAUACCAUAAACAUUUCAUUUUUAAUGCAAAAUUUAAUAAAAUGUACUUUUCCAUACAGCUAUAUUUAACUUAAAAAUGGGCAAACAUCAAGAGUGCGGUAUAAAACCUAACAGGAAAAAUACAUCUUAUCUCAUUUUCAAUUUGAGACAAUAUACAACUUUGUUUAAAGGGCUAAAACUAGAAUUUCAAGAAUACAAAUAUGAAUUUACAUAGAUUUAACAAAUAAUAAUGGUACCAUUUAUAGAAAUCUUAGAAAGAAAAAUCAUUUCUCGUGGGCCAUUUGCUACCAGGAGAGUUUCAUGGUAUAAAGCCCGUGGCCACCACCAGACCUGUCACCAAAAAAUAACAUGGUAAUUUCAUGCUUUUAACUUUACACAUUUUAGGUACGCUCAUCGCUCUCAAGUGUUCAGAGAUUUACAAAUACAACUUCCAUUACAUAGUAACGGAGUCACACAUGUAAAUUUCUCUACACCGGCUGGACAUACACUCUUCCUAUGGGUCCUUCUAGGACAGAAUUUAAACAUUCCCUCCCUCCCCACCCCCACCCCCCAAGUAUUUAAUUUCUGUAAAAUUGAACUCUAUACUUCUCAACUCUCCAAGACUGGUAAACUCAUGCAACUCAAUAGAAUAUUACAUUUCACAAAAAAAUCCGAACAAAUAUCAGUUUGUUGAGAUUGAAUUUUGUGUUUUGUUUCCAGUUACGGAAGAAUAUUCUUUCAUCAUAUGCCUAUAUAUUUCUUUUCUUACCCUAUCAUGUUUAUGCAGGGUAUGCAGAUCAAAGCUUUGUUUAUCAGCUGGUUAUAUGAAAGAUGAAAACUGUAAUAUUCCCGUGAUCCCAAACGGGCAUUCAAUAAAGCAAAAGAUGAGUUCCCCACAAAAAAAAAAAAAAAAAAAAAAAAAAAAAAAAGA
Molecule: long non-coding RNA, 2080 nt
Organism: Cuculus canorus (common cuckoo)
Lineage: Eukaryota; Metazoa; Chordata; Aves; Cuculiformes; Cuculidae
Exons: 2
Source: RefSeq, a predicted model, not a curated record